RNAcentral lists this long non-coding RNA (1249 nucleotides) under Brassica napus (rape). RNAcentral's name for it is "long non-coding RNA (BNAP_LNC023779)". The record is from RNAcentral. Lineage: Eukaryota; Viridiplantae; Streptophyta; Magnoliopsida; Brassicales; Brassicaceae.
GCUGGUUUAGUGAAUUAAACCAGGUCAAACCGGAAUAAACCGGUCAAUCAUUUCCCUUCUUCUCCACAGCGACGUUUGCACCUCGCUCCACCAAGUCGCUCUGGUGAUUGAUCUUCGAUGUGGAAUUUUCCGAGCGAGUUCAUCACGUCGCUUCAAUCACUCGCUCCAGCACACGCUCAUGAUGCGGCGACCUCACUAACUCGUUUUGCCAAGUCGCUGUGAACUUCUUCGAGCUUGAGCUCCGAUUCGCUCUUCUUUGUCUCGAGACCCGAGCUUCCUCGUCUCCAGCUUCAGCCGUCGUCUCCUUCGUCGUCACUGGCUCACGGCCUCUCUAUCUCCCGUGGCCGUGCUCAUUCUCGUCGUCGGGAUCAUCCUUCACCGCGACCGGAUGCCAUCGACGUGAGGUCUCAUGUCCACGACCUCUCCAUUUCUCGAGCUAUCCUCCUCCAGGUCGUGCUCUCAGGUGCUCGAGUCUCAUCGUCGUCGAGCUUUGCCGUGGUUGGAAUCAGCCUCGCCGUCGUUCGCGUUGAAACCAAACUCUCGAUCUCCUCCAAUGGAGACUUCUUCAUUAUUUUCAAAACCAGUCCCUGUCCUUUUGAUUCUUUACAAAACGGACCCAGCCUUUGGAAUGUGCAAAAAUGCCCUUGCGAAUCAAACCCAAAGUUUCCAAUGCGCGAUUUAGCCCAAGCGAAUAUUACGAAUUUGCAACCUUGGUCCCUGGAUUCUUGUUAACAUCACAGUGGACCCAAAACUUCCAAACUUUGCAGUAUAACCCUUGAAUUUCGCCCCAAACUUCCAAAUAAGCAUUCCAACCCCUAUGAUAUGCAAAUGAGUAUGCAAAUACAACACAAAGACCUAAAUGCAACCUAAAAUGAUCAUAAUAAGCUAAAAUAUGAAUCUAAAACUUAUAAAAAUCAUGAGAUAUCAACUCCCCCACACUAGUCCUUUACUUGUCCUCAAGUAAACUUUCAAGAACAUGGGAAGUGAUGUUUCAAUACACAAAUGGAAAUUCAUGACCUUAAGAAACUCUUCAAUGCCAUCGUUGUGAUAUCCUUACAAAAUCAUACCAAAUAGCAAGAGCAAUUUGUUUUUAUUAGCUCUAACUUCUCUCGGCCUAUCAAUUCCUUUGAUAUUUUAACUCAUUAUCAUGAAUCCUCAAAUCAACCAACUCUCACAUUCAAUAAGAAAUAUCAUAAGUGAAUUCUCGCAAAUUGCCAAUUGGUCCAAAUCAUUUGGUUUGGUGAGAAAA